This 778-nucleotide long non-coding RNA is filed under the name Vulpes vulpes (red fox). RNAcentral's name for it is "lncRNA (ENSVVUG00000027042.1)". The record is from RNAcentral. Lineage: Eukaryota; Metazoa; Chordata; Mammalia; Carnivora; Canidae.
AUGCUGGCCCUACCUCUGGGCAAGUGCCAAAGACUUGGCUUUUCCCUGUCUGCAAAACGGGUUGAUGCAGGAUUAAGUAACACAAGUGAACAACUAACCCCGGGGCACAGCAAACCCAUGAUAAGCCAACUAGCAUCUGUACCUCCUCACAAAUGUGACACUGCACAUGUCCAGCCCAGUUCCAGGCUUGUUCCCCACAAAACCCACAACAAAUGUCAUUUACUUCUUUCCCCCAAAUCCUGGAUCUCAGCUCUGGGUGGGGAAGGGUCAGCUAUGCUUUCUUGGUAUAAUUAUCGUUCCUUUAUUUGGAUGUUCCCAGGCUUGUUUUACACCAAUUGUUUGAAUCUUCAUUUCUGUACGUGCUUCAUACUGUUUGGGGAGAAAUCUCUCAGUAGCAGUUCCCCAGAAUGUGCCUUGUGGAGACAUGGUGGAAAGGAAAAAGAACCCAGUUCCUGGAGCUCCAGUAGGUGCCUGCAUGUGGUCACAGGACUUCUUGACUUCAAGGCGUUGACUUCUACUGAAAUGAUGAGCCAAGUAUGCUACAGCUCCAAGGGCAGCAGUUAAGAAAGUGUUUUUGGUGGAAUCAGGGGGCCGCAGUGACUACAGUUGGAGAAUCCUGCUGUGGAUCUUUGUUGUGUUGUAGUCUCCCCACAUCGUCCUUGGGCCUCGAAUUGCUUGUGGUCAAAUAGAAGCAUGCAAUCCAAUUCCAGCCAGAUUGCAUGCAAGAGAAUUAUGAGCAUUUUCUAAAAUAAAAACCGCAUCUCCAUAUAUAAGUACA